This 497-nucleotide ribosomal RNA is filed under the name uncultured bacterium. RNAcentral's name for it is "partial 16S ribosomal RNA". It matches the Rfam family "Bacterial small subunit ribosomal RNA", at positions 28 to 507 of the family's 1533-position model. The record is from RNAcentral.
GAUGAACGCUGGCGGCGUGCCUAAUACAUGCAAGUCGAGCGAACGGACGAGAAGCUUGCUUUUCUGAUGUUAGCGGCGGACGGGUGAGUAACACGUGGAUAACCUACCUAUAAGACUGGGAUAACUUCGGGAAACCGGAGCUAAUACCGGAUAAUAUUUUGAACCGCAUGGUUCAAAAGUGAAAGACGGUCUUGCUGUCACUUAUAGAUGGAUCCGCGCUGCAUUAGCUAGUUGGUAAGGUAACGGCUUACCAAGGCAACGAUGCAUAGCCGACCUGAGAGGGUGAUCGGCCACACUGGAACUGAGACACGGUCCAGACUACUAAGGGAGGCAGCAGUAGGGAAUGUUCCGCAAUGGGCGAAAGCCUGACGGAGCAACGCCGCGUGAGUGAUGAAGGUCUUCGGAUCGUAAAACUCUGUUAUUAGGGAAGAACAUAUGUGUAAGUAACUGUGCACAUCUUGACGGUACCUAAUCAGAAAGCCACGGCUAACUACGUG